This 515-nucleotide ribosomal RNA is filed under the name uncultured bacterium. RNAcentral describes it as "partial 16S ribosomal RNA". It matches the Rfam family "Bacterial small subunit ribosomal RNA", at positions 28 to 523 of the family's 1533-position model. The record is from RNAcentral.
GAUGAACGCUGGCGGCGUGCCUAAUACAUGCAAGUCGAGCGAAUGGAUUAAGAGCUUGCUCUUAUGAAGUUAGCGGCGGACGGGUGAGUAACACGUGGGUAACCUGCCCAUAAGACUGGGAUAACUCCGGGAAACCGGGGCUAAUACCGGAUAACAUUUUGAACCGCAUGGUUCGAAAUUGAAAGGCGGCUUCGGCUGUCACUUAUGGAUGGAACCGCGUCGCAUUAGCUAGUUGGUGAGGGAACGGCGCACCACAGCAACGAUGCGUAGCCCACCUGAGAGGGUGAUCGGCCACACUGGGACUGAGACACGGCCCAGACUCCUACGGGAGGCAGCAGUAGGGAAUCUUCCGCAAUGGACGAAAGUCUGACGGAGCAACGCCGCGUGAGUGAUGAAGGCUUUCGGGUCGUAAAACUCUGUUGUUAGGGAAGAACAAGUGCUAGUUGAAUAAGCUGGCACCUUGACGGUACCUAACCAGAAAGCCACGGCUAACUACGUGCCAGCCGCCGCAGUAA